Molecule: ribosomal RNA, 503 nt
Filed under: uncultured bacterium
Lineage: Bacteria
Description: partial 16S ribosomal RNA
Rfam family: Bacterial small subunit ribosomal RNA
Source: RNAcentral
AUUGAACGCUGGCGGCAGGCUUAACACAUGCAAGUCGAGCGGGGUGAUGGUGCUUGCACUAUCACUUAGCGGCGGACGGGUGAGUAAUGCUUAGGAAUCUGCCUAUUAGUGGGGGACAACAUCUCGAAAGGGAUGCUAAUACCGCAUACGUCCUACGGGAGAAAGCAGGGGAUCACUUGUGACCUUGCGCUAAUAGAUGAGCCUAAGUCGGAUUAGCUAGUUGGUGGGGUAAAGGCCUACCAAGGCGGCGAUCUGUAGCGGGUCUGAGAGGAUGAUCCGCCACACUGGGACUGAGACACGGCCCAGACUCCUACGGGAGGCAGCAGUGGGGAAUAUUGGACAAUGGGGGGAACCCUGAUCCAGCCAUACCGCGUGUGUGAAGAAGGCCUUAUGGUUGUAGAGCACUUUAAGCGAGGAGGAGGCUCUUUUGGUUAAUACCCAAGAUGAGUGGACGUUACUCGCAGAAUAAGCACCGGCUAACUCUGUGCCAGCAGCCGCGGUAA